This 301-nucleotide ribosomal RNA is filed under the name uncultured bacterium. RNAcentral's name for it is "partial 16S ribosomal RNA". It matches the Rfam family "Bacterial small subunit ribosomal RNA", at positions 509 to 808 of the family's 1533-position model. The record is from RNAcentral.
CAGUCGCCGCGGUAAUACGAAGGGGGCUAGCGUUGCUCGGAAUGACUGGGCGUAAAGGGCGCGUAGGCGGAUUGUUUAGUUAGGCGUGAAAUUCCUGGGCUUAACCUGGGGACUGCGCUUAAUACAGGCAGUCUAGAGUGAGGAAGAGGGUUGUGGAAUUCCCAGUGUAGCGGUGAAAUGCGUAGAGAUCGGGAGGAACAUCAGUGGCGAAGGCGGCCAUCUGGGACAAUAACUGACGCUGAUGCACGAAAGCUAGGGGAGCAAACAGGAUUAGAUACCCCAGUAGUCCCUGUCUCUUAUA